CUAGGCUAAAUAUGACCACGAGACCGAUAGCGAACAAGUACCGUGAGGGAAAGUUGAAAAGCACUUUGAAGAGAGAGUUCAAGAGUACGUGAAACCGUUUAGGGGUAAACCUGAGAAACCCGAAAGGUCGAAGGGAGAAAUUCAUUCGCGUUUCGUAGUCGGCGUGAGACGGGGUCGAGUGACGAGAGACGUGUUCGCACGUUUCUUGCGCCCUCCGUUUUUCGAUCUGGCAACGAACGCGUGCACUUUUCUCCUGGUAGGACGUCGCGAUCCGUUGGGUGUCGGUUUACGGCUCGUAGUGGAGCCCGUUCGUACGGCUUACCCCGUUUACGAACGGACCUACGUGUCCCAGCUGACCCGCUCGACGGUAUAAGAAAGGUUUAAGGCCGCUAAUUAUUAGCGUUCGGCUCGUGGCAAGCGCGCCAGAUGCCCGUUGGCGAUCGGACCUAGUGCCGAUUCUGACCUCUGGUGACUGUUGGCUACGAAGUUCUCGAACAGACCUUCAAACCGAUCAGCGACGCUAUAGCUUUGGGUACUUUCAG
Molecule: ribosomal RNA, 542 nt
Filed under: Bordoniola sp. CNC COL VG00010330
Lineage: Eukaryota; Metazoa; Arthropoda; Insecta; Coleoptera; Brachyceridae
Description: partial 28S ribosomal RNA
Rfam family: Eukaryotic large subunit ribosomal RNA
Source: RNAcentral